Molecule: ribosomal RNA, 391 nt
Filed under: uncultured bacterium
Lineage: Bacteria
Description: bacterial SSU rRNA
Rfam family: Bacterial small subunit ribosomal RNA
Source: RNAcentral
GACGAACGCUGGCGGCGUGCUUAACACAUGCAAGUCGAGCGGUAAGGCCCUUUCGGGGGUACACGAGCGGCGAACGGGUGAGUAACACGUGGGUGACCUGCCCUCAGCUCUGGGAUAAGCCUGGGAAGCCGGGUCUAAUACCGGAUAUGACUCCAUGACGCAUGUUGUGGGGUGGAAAGCCUUGUGCGGCUGAGGAUGGGCCCGCGGCCUAUCAGCUUGUUGGUGGGGUGANGGCCUACCAAGGCGACGACGGGUAGCCGGCCUGAGAGGGCGACCGGCCACACUGGGACUGAGACACGGCCCAGACUCCUACGGGAGGCAGCAGUGGGGAAUCUUGCGCAAUGGGCGAAAGCCUGACGCAGCGACGCCGCGUGAGGGAUGACGGCCUCGG